Small nucleolar RNA from Ylistrum balloti, 71 nucleotides. RefSeq annotates it as small nucleolar RNA SNORD18. The record is from RefSeq and is a predicted model, not a curated record. The transcript has a single exon. NCBI's taxonomy places the organism in Eukaryota, Metazoa, Mollusca, Bivalvia, Pectinida, Pectinidae.
UGUGAGUGAUGAUCUGCCUUUGGUCCGUGUUUUUGAGAACACUAUGAUAUUUUACAGGGCAUACUGACACA